UACGGAGGGUGCAAGCGUUAAUCGGAAUUACUGGGCGUAAAGCGUGCGCAGGCGGUGAGCUGUGUCCGAUGUGAAAGCCCCGGGCUUAACCUGGGAAUGGCAUUGGAAACUGGCUCGCUGGAGUGUGGCAGAGGGGGGUGGAAUUCCGCGUGUAGCAGUGAAAUGCGUAGAGAUGCGGAGGAACACCGAUGGCGAAGGCAGCCCCCUGGGCUAACACUGACGCUCAGGCACGAAAGCGUGGGGAGCAAACAGG
RNAcentral lists this ribosomal RNA (253 nucleotides) under uncultured bacterium. RNAcentral's name for it is "partial 16S ribosomal RNA". It matches the Rfam family "Bacterial small subunit ribosomal RNA", at positions 524 to 776 of the family's 1533-position model. The record is from RNAcentral.